Molecule: long non-coding RNA, 1159 nt
Organism: Durio zibethinus
Lineage: Eukaryota; Viridiplantae; Streptophyta; Magnoliopsida; Malvales; Malvaceae
Source: RefSeq, a predicted model, not a curated record
AAGCCCGAGUUCGCUCGCACACUUUGUGAUUCGAUUACUUGUCUAGGCCCUCAAUGCUCGUCUGGGCCUUGGGUGCGCUCCCUGAUCUCCUUGGCUUAAUCUCACUUGGACUGAAACGUGCUCGUCCCGGUAGAAUCUCUGAGCUGGAUAGCUCACGGACAAUGACAAUCGCACUUUCCCAGAAUUCUUAAACCAAAACCGAAACGCAAACUGUUAAGCCUGAUCUCAAAGAUAAGGCUUUGCAAGUCAGCUCGUAUUUGUGUUUGGAUCAGGUGCAGUCCUACAUUCUUGUUGCAGGUAUAUUGGUCACAGAAAUGCUGCUGAGAAUUAUAUUGUUCAUGAUCCUAUUCAUGCGGUACUGCUACGGUAUUAUAUCGAGCGCCAGUGCUUGUUCAAGUACACACGGCAGACUCUCGUGCGUGCUUGUAAAGCAAUUAUGAGGCUGUUCUAUUCUCUAAUUGCCCCUUUGAUGCCAUUUCUUUCAGUUUAAUAUUGAUGUUUUUCUGCCGACAAUACUGCUAUGUUUGGUGCAGUAUAUUUGGGAAAUAGCUUGAAAGAAGGGAGUUUGAUAAGGGAGGAUACACUAAAGCUGAUUUCUGAUGGACUAGAAGGAAGUUUAAUAGUUGUCUUGCAAGCCCUCAUAUCGUGCAGUCAUCGAGAGCAGAUGCUAUUUUGAUAUAAGUUGUCUUUUACUUUUUACCCUUACCAAAACAACUUAGGAGCAACAAGUUUGUAGAAACACCGGCAGCUAAUCAGGAAUGUAUUCAUUGUGGUGGUUGAUUUUGUGGCAUGCAUCUUUUCUUUGAUGUUCUGAAGUUUCUUGAGCACUCUUACAAUGUUUAUGCAUUACCGUGCAGAUAGAAGAAUAGCUACUUGCUUAGUUAUAUUUUAUUAGCUGUUAAAAGGGCAACGGAGUUGGGAUAUGUUGAUCUUGCUUAUUUUCCGGACCUCCUGAUGCCUGAGAUUUUACAUGGGGUGCAGGUAUGAUAGUGAUAUAGGUUUCCUUAUUCAUAUUUUGCCAUCCUUUUCAACAAUGAGACACCAAGUGUUGGUUGUUGUUUAUUCCCAAGACUUCAAAAAAUAUUAUGUAUCAGUCAUCCACACUACUCUCUGUGCAAAAACAUCUGGAUGCCAAUCUAUAUUAAACUUGUAAGAAAGG